GCCGACUUAGCUCAGCGGUAGAGUGCUUCCUUGGUAAGGAAGAGGUCACGGGUUCAAGUCCCGUAGCCGGCU
This 72-nucleotide transfer RNA is filed under the name Chryseobacterium oranimense. Its description in RNAcentral is "tRNA_Thr_GGT". It matches the Rfam family "tRNA". From Rfam's summary of the family: Transfer RNA (tRNA) molecules are approximately 80 nucleotides in length. Their secondary structure includes four short double-helical elements and three loops (D, anti-codon, and T loops). Further hydrogen bonds mediate the characteristic L-shaped molecular structure. tRNAs have two regions of fundamental functional importance: the anti-codon, which is responsible for specific mRNA codon recognition, and the 3' end, to which the tRNAs corresponding amino acid is attached (by aminoacyl-tRNA synthetases). tRNAs cope with the degeneracy of the genetic code in two manners: having more than one tRNA (with a specific anti-codon) for a particular amino acid; and 'wobble' base-pairing, i.e. permitting non-standard base-pairing at the 3rd anti-codon position. The record is from RNAcentral. Lineage: Bacteria; Pseudomonadati; Bacteroidota; Flavobacteriia; Flavobacteriales; Weeksellaceae.